RNAcentral lists this ribosomal RNA (604 nucleotides) under Hepatozoon sp. RNAcentral's name for it is "SSU rRNA". It matches the Rfam family "Eukaryotic small subunit ribosomal RNA", at positions 458 to 1041 of the family's 1831-position model. The record is from RNAcentral. Lineage: Eukaryota; Apicomplexa; Hepatozoidae.
AGAGAGGUAGUGACAAGAAAUAACAAUACAAGGCAAUUAAAAUGUUUUGUAAUUGGAAUGAUAGAAAUUUAAACACUUUUUAAAGUAUCAAUUGGAGGGCAAGUCUGGUGCCAGCAGCCGCGGUAAUUCCAGCUCCAAUAGCGUAUAUUAAAAUUGUUGCAGUUAAAAAGCUCGUAGUUGAAUUUCUGUUAAAAAUAACCGGUCUGCUUUUUUUAUUAAAAGUGGUAUCAUCUUGGUGUGUUUUUAACAAUAAUAAUGUCCUUUGAAAAUGUUUUUUACUUUAUUGUAAUAUAAGUCAUUGUUUUGAGGAUUUUUACUUUGAGAAAAUUAGAGUGUUUCUAGCAGGCUUUUACGCUUUUGAAUACUGCAGCAUGGAAUAAUAAGAUAGGAUUUUAGUUCUACAUUAUUGGUUUUAAGAACUAAAUUAAUGAUUGAUAGGGAUAGUUGGGGGCAUUUGUAUUUAACUGUUAGAGGUGAAAUUCUUAGAUUUGAUAAAGACAAACUACUGCGAAAGCAUUUGCCAAAGAUGUUUUCAUUAAUCAAGAACGAAAGUUAGGGGAUCGAAGACGAUCAGAUACCGUCGUAGUCUUAACUAUAAACUAUG